AUGUGGAGAUGUGGGUUUUGAGCCUUCACUUCAACUUCUAGCUCCCAUGUGGUUUCUUUAGUUGAAUGAUGCUGCUAUAAUAGCUUUAUUAAGGAGAUGACCUUGGACCGUAAUAUCUUUUCUUUACGACCCACUAUCUGCAUAAGAAGCUUAAUGUAGGAUAAGUUGUCCUGAAGUGUAAGGGGUUCAUAUCGGAAUACAUGCGAUGGAUCUAGGUGAUAUUUCUUUAGCACUUACGCAU
RNAcentral lists this long non-coding RNA (241 nucleotides) under Carica papaya (papaya). Its description in RNAcentral is "long non-coding RNA (CPAP_LNC000333)". Lineage: Eukaryota; Viridiplantae; Streptophyta; Magnoliopsida; Brassicales; Caricaceae. The record is from RNAcentral.